RNAcentral lists this long non-coding RNA (208 nucleotides) under Nicotiana benthamiana. Its description in RNAcentral is "long non-coding RNA (NBEN_LNC000262)". Lineage: Eukaryota; Viridiplantae; Streptophyta; Magnoliopsida; Solanales; Solanaceae. The record is from RNAcentral.
UAAGGUGUUAUGCAUCAUCUUUUCAUGUGAAACUUGGUCACUUUCUUUUCAGUUUAAUGGGCAGAACACCUUUUUCUAAAGGUAAGGCAGAGCACGAAUUUUCUCAAUUCAAAAAGACCGGUUACCUUCCAUAUGUUUGUAUCAAGGUCUACUUCAUGCUUCCCCGACAUAUCAAUUGCAUCCACACUUAGAACUACCACGGUUGAAG